GUAAGCUACUAAGAGCGAAUGGUGGAUGCCUUGACUGGUAAAGGCGAUGAAGGACGUACUAGACUGCGAUAAGCUACGGGGAGCUGUCAAGAAGCUUUGAUCCGUAGAUUUCCGAAUGGGGCAACCCAAUGUAUAGAGAUAUACAUUACCUAUAUAGGAGCGAACGAGGGGAAUUGAAACAUCUUAGUACCCUCAGGAAAAGAAAUCAAUAGAGAUUGCGUCAGUAGCGGCGAGCGAAAGCGCAAGAGGGCAAACCCAGUGCUUGCACUGGGGGUUGUAGGACUGCAAUGUGCAAGAGCUGAGUUUAGCAGAACAUUCUGGAAAGUAUAGCCAUAGAGGGUGAUAGUCCCGUAUGCGAAAAACAAAGCUUAGCUAGCAGUAUCCUGAGUAGGGCGGGACACGAGGAAUCCUGUCUGAAUCCGGGUCGACCACGAUCCAACCCUAAAUACUAAUACCAGAUCGAUAGUGCACAAGUACCGUGAGGGAAAGGUGAAAAGAACUGAGGUGAUCAGAGUGAAAUAGAACCUGAAACCAUUUGCUUACAAUCAUUCAGAGCCCUAUGUAGCAAUACAGGGUGAUGGACUGCCUUUUGCAUAAUGAGCCUGCGAGUUGUGGUGUCUGGCAAGGUUAAGCAAACGCGAAGCCGUAGCGAAAGCGAGUCUGAAUAGGGCGCUUAGUCAGAUGCUGCAGACCCGAAACGAAGUGAUCUAUCCAUGAGCAAGUUGAAGCUAGUGUAAGAACUAGUGGAGGACUGAACCCAUAGGCGUUGAAAAGCCCCGGGAUGACUUGUGGAUAGGGGUGAAAGGCCAAUCAAACUUCGUGAUAGCUGGUUCUCUCCGAAAUAUAUUUAGGUAUAGCGUUGUGUCGUAAUAUAAGGGGGUAGAGCACUGAAUGGGCUAGGGCAUACACCAAUGUACCAAACCCUAUCAAACUCCGAAUACCUUAUAUGUAAUCACAGCAGUCAGGCGGCGAGUGAUAAAAUCCGUCGUCAAGAGGGAAACAACCCAGACUACCAGCUAAGGUCCCUAAAUCUUACUUAAGUGGAAAACGAUGUGAAGUUACUUAAACAACCAGGAGGUUGGCUUAGAAGCAGCCAUCCUUUAAAGAAAGCGUAAUAGCUCACUGGUCUAGUGAUUUUGCGCGGAAAAUAUAACGGGGCUAAAGUAAGUACCGAAGCUGUAGACUUGCACACAACUUAGAUUAUUUAAGUUUAGAAUAUGAGAAACUAAGUUAUAUGUUUAGUUAUAUUUUUACUGAUUUUUAUAGAGUAAAGAUAGAAAUAAAACUUAGUAAAAUCAGUAAAAAUAUUCUUAGACUAAAGUUAAGUAGUUUAAGUUGUGUGCAAGUGGUAGGAGAGCGUUCUAUUUGCGUCGAAGGUAUACCGGUAAGGAGUGCUGGAGCGAAUAGAAGUGAGCAUGCAGGCAUGAGUAGCGAUAAUUAAUGUGAGAAUCAUUAACGCCGUAAACCCAAGGUUUCCUACGCGAUGCUCGUCAUCGUAGGGUUAGUCGGGUCCUAAGUCGAGUCCGAAAGGGGUAGACGAUGGCAAAUUGGUUAAUAUUCCAAUACCAACAUUAGUGUGCGAUGGAAGGACGCUUAGGGCUAAGGGGGCUAGCGGAUGGAAGUGCUAGUCUAAGGUCGUAGGAGGUUAUACAGGCAAAUCCGUAUAACAAUACUCCGAGAACUGAAAGGCUUUUUGAAGUCUUCGGAUGGAUAGAAGAACCCCUGAUGCCGUCGAGCCAAGAAAAGUUUCUAAGUUUAGCUAAUGUUGCCCGUACCGUAAACCGACACAGGUGGGUGGGAUGAGUAUUCUAAGGCGCGUGGAAGAACUCUCUUUAAGGAACUCUGCAAAAUAGCACCGUAUCUUCGGUAUAAGGUGUGGUUAGCUUUGUAUUAGGAUUUACUCCGAAAGCAAGGAAACUUACAACAAAGAGUCCCUCCCGACUGUUUACCAAAAACACAGCACUCUGCUAACUCGUAAGAGGAUGUAUAGGGUGUGACGCCUGCCCGGUGCUCGAAGGUUAAUUGAUGGGGUUAGCAUUAGCGAAGCUCUUGAUCGAAGCCCGAGUAAACGGCGGCCGUAACUAUAACGGUCCUAAGGUAGCGAAAUUCCUUGUCGGUUAAAUACCGACCUGCAUGAAUGGCGUAACGAGAUGGGAGCUGUCUCAAAGAGGGAUCCAGUGAAAUUGUAGUGGAGGUGAAAAUUCCUCCUACCCGCGGCAAGACGGAAAGACCCCGUGGACCUUUACUACAGCUUGACACUGCUACUUGGAUAAGAAUGUGCAGGAUAGGUGGGAGGCUUUGAGUAUAUGACGCCAGUUGUAUAUGAGCCAUUGUUGAGAUACCACUCUUUCUUAUUUGGGUAGCUAACCAGCUUGAGUUAUCCUCAAGUGGGACAAUGUCUGGUGGGUAGUUUGACUGGGGCGGUCGCCUCCCAAAUAAUAACGGAGGCUUACAAAGGUUGGCUCAGAACGGUUGGAAAUCGUUCGUAGAGUAUAAAGGUAUAAGCCAGCUUAACUGCAAGACAUACAAGUCAAGCAGAGACGAAAGUCGGUCUUAGUGAUCCGGUGGUUCUGUGUGGAAGGGCCAUCGCUCAAAGGAUAAAAGGUACCCCGGGGAUAACAGGCUGAUCUCCCCCAAGAGCUCACAUCGACGGGGAGGUUUGGCACCUCGAUGUCGGCUCAUCGCAUCCUGGGGCUGGAGCAGGUCCCAAGGGUAUGGCUGUUCGCCAUUUAAAGCGGUACGCGAGCUGGGUUCAGAACGUCGUGAGACAGUUCGGUCCCUAUCUGCCGUGGGCGUAAGAAGAUUGAAGAGAUUUGACCCUAGUACGAGAGGACCGGGUUGAACAAACCACUGGUGUAGCUGUUGUUCUGCCAAGAGCAUCGCAGCGUAGCUAAGUUUGGAAAGGAUAAACGCUGAAAGCAUCUAAGCGUGAAGCCAACUCUAAGAUGAAUCUUCUCUAAGCUCUCUAGAAGACUACUAGUUUGAUAGGCUGGGUGUGUAAUGGAUGAAAGUCCUUUAGCUGACCAGUACUAAUAGAGCGUUUGGCUUAUCUUUA
This 3055-nucleotide ribosomal RNA is filed under the name Campylobacter jejuni. RNAcentral describes it as "bacterial LSU rRNA". It matches the Rfam family "Bacterial large subunit ribosomal RNA". The record is from RNAcentral. Lineage: Bacteria; Pseudomonadati; Campylobacterota; Epsilonproteobacteria; Campylobacterales; Campylobacteraceae.